Trachymyrmex cornetzi is the source of this 1615-nucleotide long non-coding RNA. RefSeq lists it as uncharacterized. The record is from RefSeq and is a predicted model, not a curated record. NCBI's taxonomy places the organism in Eukaryota, Metazoa, Arthropoda, Insecta, Hymenoptera, Formicidae. The transcript is spliced from 4 exons.
AAGUGCUCCACAUGACGAAGCCGGAAAGAUACUCGCUCUAGUGUCGCGUCGCGCUGAGUGCCGGUAUUUUUAAUAUCGUCUCUAUGUUUAGCCCCGGCGAAUGGAACGUCAUGCAGUCGUUGUCGUCUUCGUCGUCUUCGUGGCUAGCAGCGGGGAACAGGAAACGUCAGUCAGGUAGUCGUAGAUGACUUGACGUGUAAGGUGUCAGCUAUUGGCGACUCACAUGCCGAACAAACGAACGAAAAUACGUCAUACCGAUUUCUCGGCGCAUCUCGCAUUUUCGACAUUUUUUAAUUUUUUCCGAUAAAAGAAAGGGAUAAUUUUCACGCUAUGUUUUCUAUGACCGAAAUGAGAAAGGAAUGUACCAGUCAGCGAGCAGGAUGAUUUUAACUACAGCCUAAAGCCUUAAAGUUUGAUAAGCAUGCGAGUUCAAUCGAUUCAGAGAUACGCGUCCGCCAAAGAUGGAGCUUCGGACAUGAACGCGAUUUGAAAUGAGUUUAAUUCACUUAUCGAUUCGUUGGAGAUCACGAAAACACAGAUAAACGAAUAAUUCGAUAACAACCGAUAUGCCGGAGCUAUCUAGCAAACUUUUAUACAAGUAUAGCGAGGAGAGUACUGACGAUAUACAAGGAAGAAUAACACCGAGUUGUCGAUCGUCAUCGAUAUAAUCAUUAAUGGAUAUACAUCUAGCGCGAUUUAUAGUCAUCGGAGCUGUUACCGCACGCAUUUUAUCGUUGUGUUAACACAAGUUACGGUAAUGUUAAGCCUGAUAAGUGAGUAACCUCAGGUGUACGCACUUCGAAAAAAUGCACUUAAUGACGAGCAAGCCCCAUGAAAAUAACUAUAAAUUGUUGACAAUUGACUAUGCUUUGAACUAUUUACAAAUUAUUUAAUGCAGAAUUAUUUACAAAUUAACAGCUCGCAAUCCGAAUUAUAAAUCGUCUCCCGUUACUAUUGAUUUUCAGUAAAAUUAAUUCGAUGACAUAAAAUUAAUCAAUGUUCAACACGGAAACGUCUCCUUCUUUGAGGAGCAUCUCUGUGCAUAUUUAUUGGAUGGAAAAGCGGAACCGACUAUGGCUGCGUUCGGAUGUUUCCGUGUUUGGAACACAGAGAGAAUCAAGCUGACAUCAAAGCUCUAUCUCUAUAGACAUGGAAGAGAUUGAAGAAAUCUGGUCAUGUGAUCCCCGUCCUGAUUGGACAUGAGCAUUCACGUGAUGCAAUUUGCCACUCUCGACUCGUGAAGUUCUCUACUACUACUCACUGCGCUCGAUGAGUAGGAGCUAUGGUCGGGACAUAUUGAAACAUGUUGGAGUAUGCGACGCAAACAAACCUCGAUAUACAACUGAUCGUAUAUAUUUCUGCAUACAAUUACAUAUUCUACACACAUCGGCGCAGGAGCGUUUUGUUAGAGGAAGGCAGUCACGAAAGAACCUAAGCGAAGAUUACUACCACGAUACAGAAACACAAAAUGUAUUAUCGUACAUCAGGCUCUUUAAUAAGGCCUCGCUGUCUAAAUAUACUAUAUAACUUCGAGGCAAUGAAUAUGCAAAGUGUUAGUUAAAAGUAAAUAUUAAUUAUACUAGAUAAAUUAACUGUGUAACGUCAUUUAUCUUAA